RNAcentral lists this long non-coding RNA (38465 nucleotides) under Aquilegia coerulea. RNAcentral describes it as "long non-coding RNA (ACOE_LNC000599)". Lineage: Eukaryota; Viridiplantae; Streptophyta; Magnoliopsida; Ranunculales; Ranunculaceae. The record is from RNAcentral.
CUGCAUUCCCUCCCAGUUGAGUGUGGGAUUUUCUAGAACCUUCAUCAUGACAUGUUUCAUGUCCCACCUUGCAACUCUUGGAGACAUUUCUUCUCUUCCUUGAAUCUUGGGAAUGAUGUUGGUAUGUUCACAUAACCAAUACUGCAUUUGAAAAAUAGAGAAUAUUGAUUAAUAAGCAAGACUAAAGUUGAUGAAAUAGAAAUAAAUGUAGCUUUACUUACCAAUAGUACUAGUGUGCAUCCACUCAUAACUGCAUUUCCUUCCUGCCACUUCUUGUGUCCUAUUGGCAAGUUUUUCCUCUGAUGAUUUUCAUUCAACUUGUUUACAAGGAAGAAAUGAAUAGCCUCUGCCCAGUUAACAGAAUUCAUCCCCUUCAAGCUGUCAAGAUGCUUCAAGUGAUUCCAUAAAGCCCUGCUCGCUGAAUUUGAGAAAAAUACGGUGAUGAACAUGUAGAUGAUGAUGAGGAAUCCAAGGUCUUCCUUCUUGUGUCCAUCUUCAUCCACUAGUGUUAGAAUCUUGUUCAUCACCUUAUCCUUUGCAACAUCGUCGAUAUCCUCAGUAAAGUUGUUACUAAUGAAAUCGAUUUUGCGAUGUUUGUCAGUACUGCAUGUUUUUUGUUCAAUGACCUCUCCAUAACUCUUCAAGCCAAACAGAACUGCCACAUCUUCAACUCUAAACUUCACCAUCUCAUUCCCAAUCCUAAAACCACAGUCUUCAGGUGAGUAGCAAUUGAGAAUGCAGAAGAUCGCUGUUUUGAAUGAUUCAUUCUUUGGCUUGCAUGGUUCAAUCAUACCAAGAUGCAUGAGAUUGUACAGACUUCCAAAUGUUGUGUCCUUCAAAAAACUGCAGAUGUUCAACACUCAUCUUGCUCUUUAUCGUUGCAGCUAAACUUCUAAGAGGUUCCAUGGAAUAUCUGAAGAAUGAAGUAUCAUUCUUCUUCUUCUUUGGAAAUUCAACAUUUGGCUCACUAUCCUUCCUCCUCUUUUUCGCUACUGGUUUUGGUUUAGGUGAUUUCUUAGAUGAUGAUCUUGUGAAGUAUUUACGUUUUCGAGAUGAUGUAUGUGGUUCUUCAGGUGCACUCUCUUGAAAAGAAUGAAUCAUUAAUCAACUAUUAAUCAACUAUACAGAAAUCAAUGAUUAAUACAUUAAUCAACUAUAUAGAAAUCAACACUUAAUAUGUUAAUCAACUAUACACUAAUCAAGUAUACAGAAAUCAACACUUAAUAUGUUAAUCAACUAUACAGAAAUCAACACUUAAUCAUUAAUCAACUAUACAGAAAUCAACACUUAAUUACUCUGUACAGUUGAUUAACAUAUUAAUCAACUAUACCGAAAUCAACAUUUAAUCAUUGAUUAAUAUGUUAAUCAACUAUACAUUAAUCAAUACUUAAUCAUUCUGUAUAGUUGAUUAAUGUAACUAUACAGAUUGAUGAUUUCUUGAAAUAAAUUUUGAACAAUACAUUACUCAACUACUUUAUUAAAACAAAACAAAAAAUCUAAAGAAGUUAUUAAAAAGAAAAGCAAGAAAUUUACCUCAGAUUCGUAAUCUUUGUCGCGUGCUUGUUCUUGUUGUUCAACAGCUUUAAGCUUCUUUCGCAUUGUCGCUUUCUUAUCUUUUUUUGCCCAAGGACCAGUUUUUGUACAAGUUUUUAUUCUUGUCAUUAUAGAAAUUUGAAGAAAAGUAGCGGAAAAUAAAAUAAAACAAGUAACAGUAAUGCGAAAGAAACCAGAGAAAUCGAAAAUAACAGACUUCUAAUCAAAGAGAAACCAGAGAAAUCGAAGAGAAACCUGAGAAAUCGAUGAGAAACCAGAGAAAUCGAAGAAAUCAGACUCUUAAUCAAGAGAAAUCGAAGAAUCAGACUUUUAUCAAGAGAAAUCGAAGAGAAAUCCUUAGAAAUUGAAGUAAAUCCUAAGAAAUCAAGACGAAAUUUGACAGUUGAGAUAGACAAAGAGAGAGAGAGAGAGAGAGAGAGAGAGAGAGAGAGAGAGAGAGAGAGAGAGAGAGAGAGAGAGAGGAGAGAAAGAAAGAAGGAAUAAGAAAUUAGGUUUUGUUUGAAAAUUAAAAAAAAAAAAAAAAAAAAAAAAAAAAAACCCCGCCCCACGGUGUUAUAUUCUUUACAGUUACUAAAACACUAGCAGGGUAUAUGCGUCAUUAUACAGGCGUAUCCUUCAGCCUAAAGAAACGUUUCUGGUGUCCUUGGGCCUAAUGAAACCUUAUAAUUUGUCCUUGGGCCCAAAUUGCUGAAAAGUAAAAUAACACAAGAGAUUUUUAACGUGGUAAAACCCAAAUAGGGAAACGUCCACUGUUAUCCUCGCGACAACAAAACAAUCCACUAUAAUGCAAGAUAUUACAAACCUAUCAAGCAAUACCACAUACACCUGCUACAGUGCUACUUGAUAAUACCGGCUAUUUCUAAUACUAUGACUUCACCGAAAUUCCUUGAUGCACACACGAGGACACACGAAGUCAAUCUCAGAACGAACACAAGGGUGAUUGAGUUGAGAACAAUAGAAGGGAGAAUGAGUUUUUGAAACACCAAAACACUUGAAUAGAGAUUAAAGAGAGGAAGAAGACGGCCAAAGAACUACUGUGUUAUUUUCCAAAAAUUAACCGAAACAAGAAAGAAGAGCAAUUGGGCCUCAGGCCCAUGGAACUGAACGUGGACGUUCGGACGUCUUGAUCCAAAAACAAACUUCUGACAGUUUAAGAAAAGGGACAAGACCAGACUAGAGUGACGCAAAAAAAACGUGCAUCAAGGGACAACCUAAUAAUGAAACCAAGACGAGUCGUUAAAUAUAUUAAACCUAUGUCACAAAAUAAUAUCAAACACCACGUGGCGGUUUCAUGAUCAAGAGAGAGAUCAUAUGGGAGAGGUUUUAUGGUUUAUAUAAACCAUGAGACAGAGUUAGUGAAGAUGAAUCCCUUCCACUUCACUAAUUAACUCGUGGUUUAUAUCACUAGAGCUAGACAUGAUAGGAUGUAGAACAUCUGUUGAAGUAUACCAAUUAAAAAGAUCAUUCAAAGGGGUGAGUACGCCACAAUUGUGCAUGUUUAACCAACUGUUUAUAAUAUAGUCAUAUACCACCAUGACCACACCUGUUCAAUUUAUGGGUCAGUGCAAGUAGAUCUUGUAAUGCUUAGUAAAAACAUGCACAUGGUAUUUAUUUAUUUUUUAUUUUUUGAUAAUUCGAAUGUUAUUGAUCGAAAGGAAAGAGUACACUGUACACAGAGAAGAAAAGGUUCUCUGAGCUAAAAACAAAUAGCCUCGGAUUUAACCCACCAUAUAAAUGAACUAAAAGAUACAACUGUAACUUAAAAAUACAACUGCGAAUCUAAGGUGUUCAUUAAGAUUUUUUUUUUUUUUGUUAAAGGAGUUAAUUAAGAUAGAAUCCCAGUUGAUCACCAAUUCCUGGAAAUAGUGAUUUCUAUUACAAGGUAAUUGUCAGAUAAUAAGUUCGACAAACCAAUUCCAAAUCAUCUAGAAAUCCCACUUAUAGAAAUUGCCAAUACCAAUAAGGGGGCGGGGUUAGGCAGACCCCUACGUGUUAGAUAUUGGAAAAAUUAAAGGGGGAUUUAGAGAUACCCCCCAAAAUAAUAGGAACUCUUUGAGAUACCCCCAGAUUUAAAAAUCAUUAGAGAUACCCCCCAGAUUUUUAUUUUAAGCCGGUCAACCAAACCAUUGACCAAUAUAACUUUUAUAUUGACAAAAAUACCCUUCUCAAUUGAAGUUAUAUCCUAGUCAUCCAACCCAAUUACCAUGUAUGCCAUAUCAUGUAAACUUUGAUCUAAUCCUAAGUAUUCAAUAAGAUAAAACCCUCAAAUCUAAUCCUAUGGUUAGAAACCAAUAUUUUUUUCUCCAACUCUUCUUCCUUCUUCUCAACCACCAAUUCCUCCACCACCACUAUUAAAACCACCAAUUCCUCCACCAAACUACNNNNNNNNNNNNNNNNNNNNNNNNNNNNNNNNNNNNNNNNNNNNNNNNNNNNNNNNNNNNNNNNNNNNNNNNNNNNNNNNNNNNNNNNNNNNNNNNNNNNUCUCUAUCUUUUUCUCACACAAAAAAUCUUCUCUCUCUUAUUCUCAUAAAUCACCCCACAACCACCAAUACCUCCACCACCACUACUAAAUCUUCUUUCUCCUUUUUUUCUCACACAAACAAUUUUUUUCUUUUCUUUUGUACUCGUAAAUCACCCAACACAACUACAAAAACCACCAAUUUCUCCACCACCACUACUAAGUCCACUAAUUUCUCCACCACCACUAUUAAAGUUCUUGGAUUAAUGGGGUGUGGGUGUGGUUAGGAUCAAUGGGUUUGAAUUACAUGAGAUGGACGGUUAUGAUUUAAUGGGGUAUGGGUGUUGGAUGUGAGUAAAAUUUGUUUAUGUUAAAGGUUUUGCUGACAUGGCAUACAAGUAGAUGACUAGGAUUAAGGUUCAAAUAAAAGAAGGGUAUUUUUGUCUAAAGAACAUAAAGAUGGGUCAAACAUAGGUCAAUGGCUCGGUUGACCGGCUUGAAAUGAAAAUCUGGGGGGUAUCUCUAAUGAUUUUUAAAUCUGGGGGGUAUCUCAAAGAGUUCCUAUUAUUUUGGGGGGUAUCUCUAAAUCCCCCAAAAUUAAACCAUAAGGCAAGAAGGGGACAUGGUGCCUUACCUCUAUAUACAAAAAGAGACAUGGGCCUUUAAGGCUAGAACUAAAACUGGGCUGUGAAGCCUAACACAAAAAGACCAAAUAAAAUUAAACAAACAAACAGAAAGCGAUUGCCCAACCCACUUGUAGGUCAACUCCUCGUAAAUAAGCGCCAAAAAGGAUGUAAGCCUCUUCAAUUUCUUGUUUACAUUCCAGAGCUUUGGUAGAGAAGAAAACCCGUUUUUUCCUCCUUCUAAGUCUCUUCUAAAGUAUCUAACAAGUAUAUAUAAACCAAUUGUUGCCCAUUAGUAUGAUCAGAUCUAUAUGUCCAUUCGUCGCUUUAUGUGCCUCCAGCACUUCGCUGAAUUUGCUUCUUUUCAUUCCAACUUGAGAGUUGACCACCUUAACGGGCUCAAGCCCAAAUCAAUUACAAGUCAAAACUCAAGACUUUAAUCAAUAAGAAUCUAAACCCAAUUCAAUUAGUAAUAAGGCUUAGGCCCGUUAUUACAUUCAAUAUCAAUUAUGGGCUUUAUCUAUUUUAACUCCAUUAUAUUCAAUAAGGUUAAUAUGGUAAAACUACAUCUUUGUAGAGAUUUCCUUAAUCUAAUCCAACUACAACUCCAAUAUCUCUACAACUCAUGUUCCUAAUUAAUAGGACAUAUACAUACAUUAAGUAACCACUUUUAAGUCCAAAUACAUGGGACUACAAUAUUACAAUACAUUAGGGAUUAUGGGAUUACAUCUUAAUCCUAAUCAAACUCUACAUUUGAACUACGUUAUAAAAGGCUUGAUUUCAUAUCUCUCUUAUUGGAACGUAGGCAACUAAGAAGCAACUUAGUGUAGCCAUAAUCAAUCACCAAAACCCUAUUUCUUCAUCUUCAUCUUCUCCAAUACCUUACAUCACAACAUUGGGGGUUUCUUCUUGAUUCUACAUCACAUUGGUGUGAAAUCCGGUUGAAACACUUUGGCGCCGACUGAGGUUUUCUUCCCCCCCACAAAAACCUAUUUUUUAAUAGGAAUCAAGCUCUUUCUUCUCAAUGGCAACAACUAGAUCUCAACAAAACAAGCAAGUAAGUAAUGGUGGACGUCAAGAAGGUUCAAGACAUGUGCAAGCUCGCUCUCUAAAUUCCAACCCUAGAGAGCAUAUUGUCACUUCCAUGAGAGUUCCAUCUAAUGACGAAGAACACUUGGUUUCUUUUUCUUCUUCUCAACCAUCAAAAUCCAAGGAGCCUACUCAACAUGAAGAAGUCAUGAUUUCUGAAAACGAGUAUCUACGCCGUAAACUCAAAAGGCUUCAAAAUAAGAAUAAUGGUCUUAGGAGAAGGUUGAAACAUACGAAUCACAAUGGUAAUAAGUAUUCGUUAACUCCAUCUUCUUCAAGUGUUUUUGAUAGGUUAGGAGUCAAUCCAAAUCUAAGGAAAAAGACUCGACCUUCAACCAUCCCGGAAGUUGAAGAAGAUAUCGAAGAUGACAUUGUAUUACCAUCACAAGAACAAUCCCCAUGUGGCUUGGAGAAAGAAGAUGAACGCAAAAACCCUAAAGGCCUUCGAUCUAGAACUAACGGUCAAGGCGCUUUAAGGAACAAAUUCACCAUCACACCAAAGGCACCAAGAUAAGUUUGCUUAUUGGUACCAUUACAAAAAGCCAGCAUCGUCGAUCCCCAACCAUUGCUAAUGUCAAUGCAAAUACACUCGCUAAGAGGUUGCCCAACAAAAACGUCCUUGACAGACUUAGUACCCUAAGACACGCCCAGAGGCAAAAAUCUUAUCAGAAAUCAGACCAAGGAACUACCCAGAGGCAAAAAUCUUGUCAGAACUACAGUGCCUAGAGGCAAAAUGUCUGACAGGCAUCAACACAGAGUUUUGUCCAGAGGCAAUUUUUCUGACAAGCCACUGUCCAGAGGCAAUUUUUCUGACAAGACACUGUCCAGAAGCAUUUUUUCUGACAGAUGUGUAUCCACACAUGUUUUAAGCGGCAAAAUGUCCGACAUGUUAUCUAGCGGCAACAGAUUCAACAGCUUUGACAGAUACCGAGAAACGCAUAGGAACAUUCAAAGGGGUAGACGAGGUACCCGUUCAUCAACUCCUACAUCUUUAAGGCAUUACCAUCAAGGUCUUGAUGAGCAUGAAUAUGAUCAAGAUAGAAACAAUAAUGUAGGGAUCGGGAACCUUACUGAAGAGAAGUUGCAAAGAAUAGUCGUUCAAGCAAUUCAAGCAAAAAAAGCUAAGGAGUAUAGACUCGGCAACAUUGCCCAUCAUACGAGCAAAACUUCCUUAUUUUCUUUCAAGAUUCAAUGAGUAGAGCAUCAGCCAGAUUUCGAGCCACCAAGUUUCAAAAAAUACAAUGAAGUUGAGGGCAAUCCUUGGCUCCAUAUUUUUUACUUCAAGAACAAGAUGGUGCUCUUUAGUUAUGAUGAUGCACUCAUGUGCAACAUGUUUCCUUCUACCUUUGGUAUCGAAGCUCUUCGAUGAUUCUCCGACCUUCAACGGGGUUCUAUCCAAAACUUCAAUGAUUUCUUUGUCCAAUUUGCCGAACACUUUAGGCAUUAUUGGCAUCACCCUAAGGAUGUUGUUGUCUUGUUCAAUAUUAAGCAAGGAGAUGGAGAGCUAUUAAGUAAAUUUGUAUCUCGAUUUAGACAAGCCCAGGCGGAAAUACCCGAUGUCUCAGAUAUACUUGUUAUUUAUGCUUUCAAAGAAGCGUUACUACAUGAUGACAAAGGGUUAUAUAGUUCCAUUGUGCUUAACACUCCUGCCACCAAGUAUGAACUUUUCUCUAGAGCUCAAAAGUACAUCCGUCUUGAGGAUGAUACAAUUAGCAAACAAGGGCACGAAGACUCAAGCUCACAUUUUUCAAAUAACUAGUUAGGGAUCAUAAGGAUUCGCCAACUCAAGUACCACUGGAGGGCGACAACCUUAUGGUUGGAUCAGAUCAAGAUCAACACUAACGAUUUUGCACGACUAGUAUCACGCAAAAAGACUUCGUGUCAUUGCUAAGGGUACCACACGUGGUACUAGCAUAUGAUAAGUCAACUCAAACACGAUAUCUUUGUCCAACCCUCUAUCACACAAAUUGGGGGCGUCACCAUAUAUCUUAUCACACCUUUAAUGGUGUCCUCAUUAUGAUCAGAACGUUUCUACAUCAUACGCUUGGGGGCGAUUCCCUCUUUCACCUAAUGUAUCACUACAUGGGGGCGUAUGAAUCAAUAUCAAGAGUGAUCUCUAAUGGUCACAUCAAUAUCAAUAUCAAGAGUGAUCUCUAAUGAUCACAUCAAUAUCAAUAUCAAGAGUGAUCUCUAAUGAUCACAUCAAUAUCAAUAUCAAGAGUGAUCUCUAUUGGUCACAUCAAUAUUAAUAUCAAGAGUGAUCUCUCAUGAUCACAUCAAUAUCAAUAUCAAGAGUGAUCUCUCAUGAUCAAAUCAAUUUCAAUAUCAAGACUGAUCUUUAACGAUCACACCACUAUCAAUAUCAAGAGUGAUCGACAAAUGGUCACAUCAAUAUCAAUAUCAAGAGUGAUCUCUAACGGUCACACUAAUAUCAAUAUCAAGAGUGAUCUCUAAUGGUCACAUCUAUAUCAACAUCAACAGUGAUCUCUAUUGGUCACAUCAAUAUCAAUAUCAAGAGUGAUAUCUCAUGAUCACAUCACUUUCAAUAUCAAUAGUGAUCUCUUGUGAUCACAUCAAUAUCAAUAUCAAAAGUGAUCUCUCAUGAUCACAUCAAUACCAAUAUCAAGAGUGAUCUUUCAUGAUCACAUCAAUACCAAUAUCAAGAGUGAUCUCUCAUGAUCACAUAACUUUUAAUAUCAAGAGUGAUCUCUCAUGAUCACAUCACUUUUAAUAUCAGGAGUGAUCUUUUAUGAUCACAUCAAUAUCAAUUUCAAGAGUGAUCUCUCAUGAUCAUAUCAAUUUCAAUAUCAAGAGUGAUAUCUCAUGAUCACAUCAAUAUCAAUAUCAAAAAUGAUCUCUCAUGAUCACAUCACUAUCAAUAUCAAGAGUGAUCUCCAAUGGUCACAUCCAUAUCAAUAUCAAGAGUGAUUUCUAUUGAUCACAUCCAUAUCAAUAUCAAUCUCAAUAUCAAGAGUUAUUUCCAAUGCUCACAUCAAUAUCAAUAUCAAUCUCAAUCUCAAUAGUGAUCGACAACCGGUUACAUAAAUCUCAAUCUCAAUAGGGACUUGUGUGUGUCUCGUUUGCACUUUGAUAUACCCAUUGUCCAUGCACACUGUUGUGCGCAGCAGAAACUAAUGCACAAAUAAGAUGAUUGAACUAAUGUAUGAAAGUAAAACAAAACGACAAAAUCAAACAAGCAACCACACAAGACAUAAGAUAUACGUGGUUCGGCAAUAUGCCUACGUCCACGGGGAGAAUGGAUGAUGUUUUUCUUAUCGAGACAAUUGUACAAGCCCUCACGAAGAAACCGAAGUCUUCUUUCUCACAAAAGUUCUCCAACUCUCUAAUGGCUUCUCACAAUCUCUCUCGCAUAAAAAAACUUUUUUUUUUCUACUUCUAUUUGGCUUUAUAACAUAGCCUUACAAUAGACCACGAAUUGGGCUUAAACAGGCCCAUAUAGCACAAAAGCAAAGGAGGACGUACGUACGUCGAACGAACGUUCGUUCGUCAAACCACGAAGAAAUUAUCUGUGAUACGGGACGUAUGUAUGUUCCUGAACUAUACCAUCAACGUACGUACGUCGAAUACACGUUCGUACGUUCUUUGAUCCAAAAGUUAUCUGUGAUGUUGAACGUACGAACGCCCUAACUGCGUACGUACGUUCCUGAACAGAAAACUUCCCUUCGUCCUUUUCUUUUUCACAAAAAUACCCAACAAUUCUCCACCUCGGCGAAGAUUCAAUAAAUCUAAGCCGACACCAAGAAUAACACAAGUCACAAACUCCUACACAUGUCCCGAAAGACCACCUCGGCUGCACCACUUCAUGGUUGCCUACGUACCCUUCUUCUAAGGGAUCAAGCCAUCGUAGUUCACUUCAAGAUAUACUAUCAACUCGAAGGAAGAAUAUGGACCAAAUCUAAGCAAUGAUAGAAUUUAGUCCCUGGAACCACUUUAGUCAACAUGUCAGCCGGAUUACUGCUAGUAUGAAUCUUCUUCAAUAAAAUCUCACCAUCUUCAAUAAUGUCUCUAACAAAGUGAUGUCGCACAUCAAUGUGCUUUGUACGAGCAUGAUAAACUGAGUUCUUUGCCAGAUUUAUGGCACUUUGAUUAUCACAAUAAACCAUAAGCUGAUCCUGCACAAUACCCAAGUUUUUCAACAUACCUCGUAGCCAAAUGGCUUCCUUAAAGGCUUCAGUCACAGCCAUAUAUUCAGCUUCUAUCGAAGACAAAGCAACAAGAGAUUGUAAUGUAGACCGCCAACUAAUAGGACCACCUGCCAAUAUAAAAACAUAUCUAGUAGUAGACCGACGUUUCUCUAUUUGACCAUCAUAAUCAGCGUCCACAUAACCAACACAAAACUGAUUCAAAUCUCUUCCCUUCUGAAAUAGUAAACCAACCUCCACACUAUCUUGAAUGUAGCGUAAGAUCCAUUUUACAGCUUCCCAAUGCUUCUCACCAGGAUUAUGCAUGUACCUACUUACAGUGCCAACUGCAUGCCCAAUGUCGGGCCUUGUACAUACCAUCGCGUACAUCAAGCUACCAACCGCACUUGCAUAUGGAUAACGUGUCAUGUAAGCACGUUCCUUAUCAGAAUUAGGAGACAUAGAAGCAUUCAAGUUAAAAUCUUUUGAGAGAGGUAUACUCACAACUGUACCAAUCUCAUAUUGGUUAAAUCUCUGUAGCACCUUCUGUAGAUAGGCCUUUUGAGAUAACCACAAUCUUCCAUGAUCUUGUUCCCUCUAAAUUUCCAUGCCAAGUAUCUUUCUCGCAUCACCAAGAUCUUUCAUCUCAAACUCCAUAGACAUAGUCUUUUUCAACUCGUCUAUCUCCACAUUGCUUUUAGAGGCUAUAAGCAUAUCAUCAACAUAUAAAAGCAAAUAGAUAAAAGAACCAUCACAUACCUUGCGAAAAUAGACACAAGGAUCAUAUGGACUUCUUGUGUACCCUUGCCCAAGCAUAAACCGAGUAAACUGCUUGUACCAUUGUCUUGGAGAUUGCUUCAACCCAUACAACGAUUUCUUCAAUUUACACACNNNNNNNNNNNNNNNNNNNNNNNNNNNNNNNNNNNNNNNNNNNNNNNNNNNNNNNNNNNNNNNNNNNNNNNNNNNNNNNNNNNNNNNNNNNNNNNNNNNNAAAAAAGCAGUUUCACAUCAAGAGAGCUAACUCCAAAUCAAACUGUGCUCCCAAGGCCAAUAGGAUGCGAAUGGAGGAAUGUUUCACAACCGGAGAAAAAAUUUCAUUAUAGUCAAUUCCCUCCUUCUGAGCAUAGCCUUUGCCACCAAUCUUGCUUGAAACGUACAUUUUCACCAGGAGAUCCAUCCUUCUUAGUGUAAACCCAUUUGCAUCCGAUUGCUUUCUUUCCCUUAGGCAACUCCAUGAGUUCCCAAGUUUCAUUCUUAUAAAGAGAUUUCAUCUCCUCAUCCAUGGCUUUCUUCCACCUUUCAUAAUCACAACUUUGCAGUGCUUCACGAAAAGUUUCUGGAAUACCCUCAUUAACAACCGAAAGUGCAUAAGCCACCAUAUCAUCAGUAAGCCGUUUAGGAACACCGACAUUUCUCUUGGAUAAUCUGGAUGCUAUUGGACCCUCAUCAUUAGGAUCCACAUGUACUGUAUCAUCAACCGUCUCAUCAUCAACCUCAUUAUCUGUCAUGUCAUCAGAAUCUGUAACACUAGGAACCUCAGUACUUGGAACCAUCCUAGUAGACGUCUUCAAAGAUACUGACGUAGCGGAGGCGAUUAAAAAUCAAACCUUGAAUAACCCAAGGGGAGGUUUGCCUUGAAACAAGGAAGAAUUAAUAUAAAACUAAGGAAAACUAAAUUGUAAAGACAAAUCUUAAUUGUAUUGAUUGAGUAAUUGAAUUGGUUGAAAUAAUUGUUCUACAAAGCAUGACUCUUUAUAUAGACUAAAGACUUAGACCAACUAGCACUAGGACUUUCUAAACAAAUAAAUCAAAAUACAAAUCCUACUUUGAAUUGUAUUACUAAUAUCAACUUAAUAGUAAACCAACUAUUCUAGAACUUCUAGACUCUAAAAUAGAAAUCCUAAACUUAUAAUGACUUCUAAAUAAACAUUAACCCAAAUAGGAAACCAAUUGGUGUAGGUAGGAUGUCCUACAUCAGAUACAGAACCACCUGGGAUACGUGGAGAUAUCUCAGUCUCCACCCACUGCGAAACCUCUUUGGCCUUGCUCUCCACCUGCUGAGAGCUCUUAGACUUCAACAUAGAAGCCUCAUCAAAAGUCACAUCUCUGCUUAGAAUAAUUUUCUUCAAUUCUGGAUCCAUAGCUUAUAACCUUUUACUCCACUUUGUAGACCCAUAAAUAAAGACUUCUUUGCACGAGGAUCCAACUUACUCUCUCGGACAUGAUAGUAAGCUGGACACCCAAACACAUGAAGAAAACAAUAGUCUGAAGCAGGCUUACCAGACCAAACCUCCAUAGGAGUUUUGCCAUCAAUCGCAGUCGAAGGCAACCUGUUAAUAAGGUGACAGGCAUACACAAUAGCCUCAGCCCAAAACACUUUGCCUAACCCAGCAUUAGAUAACAUACACCGAACUCUCUCCAGUAAAGUUCGAUUCAUCCGUUCUGCCACCCCAUUUUGCUGCGGUGUCUCUCUUACAGUGAAAUGGCGUUGAAUACCCUCAUCCUGACAUACUUGCAAGAAGGGAUCAUUUUUGUACUCUCCACCAUUAUCUGAGCGAAGUACUUUGAUCUUUCUGCCAAUUCGGGUUUCAACUAACUUCUUCCAUUUCAUGAAAAUUUCUAGGACUUCAUCCUUGCUCUUCAUGGUGUACACCCACACACGUCUAGAAAAAUCAUCAACAAAAGACACAAAAUAAUGCUUACCUCCCCAAGAUGCAUUCUUGGUAGGCCCCCAGACAUCCGUGUGAACAUAAUCAAGAGCUCCACUAGUAUUGUGGAUAGUCGUGCCAAACUUUACUCUUGUCUGCUUGCCCCGAAUGCAAUGCUCACAGAAUUCUAAUUUACAGGCGAUAGCACCCUUUAACAACCCUUGCUUUAUCAAUCUUUGCAAGGAUUUUUCACUAGUAUGCGCCAACCGCAUAUGCCACAAUCGCGUGGUCUCUCUAGCAAUCUUUGAUGUAACCUCAAACAUGACCACAUCACCAGUAAUUGUACUACCUUGAAGGAAGUACAAGUUCCUUUGUCGAAUACCCUUGAGUAAAAUUAUUGCACCAGCCACAACCUUUAGAACGCCAUGUUCAAGUACCACCUUGUAACCAUUGGCUUCUAAAAUACCAACCGAGAUGAGAUUCUUCUUCGUGUCAGGAACAUAUCUAACAUUCUGCAGGUUCCUUAUAAUUCCAUCAAACAUCUUCAAACGAAUGGUACCUAUACCCAUUAUGUGACAGGGUUGAUCAUUCCCCAUCACCACUACACCACUUUCCUGCUCAUUAAAAUUAAUGAACCAUUCCCUUAUAGGACAUAUAUGAUAAGAAGCAGCACAAUCUAAGAUCCAUUCAUUACCACUAGUAUAACAAAUCAUUGAUGAAACGGAUAAAGAAUAAUCAGAACCUUCAUCAUCAUUUUUAGUAUCACAUGCAACAUUUACCUCAGAGUUUUUCUUCUUGUCCUUUGUUUUGGCUUUAGGACAAUCUUUCUUCCAAUACCCUUUCUCAUGGCAAAAGGAGCAUUCGUCCUUUGCUAGAGCUCGACCUCUCGACUUUGACCAAUCUUUUCCUCUACCACCUUGGCCUUUCCUGUCAUUAGACCUUCCUCUUGCCACCAAGACCUCGGGUGUAGAGCCCUUGGACUCUUCUUUGUCCUUCUUCAUACACGCAUGAGUUAACAAUGCUGUAGAAAUCUCACCAUACACCAAUUUUUCUUUCCCAUAUGUGAGUGUGAUAGCCAAGUGUUCAUAUUCGUCAGGUAAUGAAUUUAAGAGACACACUGCCUUGCUUUCAUCACUCACAUCUGCUCCUAGAUUCACCAAGUCAGCAAUUAGCUUGGUAAAAUCAUUAAAAUGCUUCGCCAUUGAAAUACCUCUUCUCAUAUUUAUUCGAUAAAAAUUUCGAAGUAGAUAGUUUUUAUUGUGGAUAGUCUUUGUCAUGUACUUCUCCUCCAAUUUUCGCCAUAUCUCCUUUGUAGAAGCAUCAUUCAUCACAAGGUAUUUAAUGUCUUGAGCCAAACACGAUCUUAUGAUUCCACAAGCUCGUUUGUUCAUCUUCUUCCAAUCCUUCUCUUCCACAUCUUCUGGCUUAUCCUCCAGAACAUCUUCUAGGUCUUGUUGACAUAGAGAAUCCAUUACCUCGCACCUCCACAUGCCAAAGUUAUUGGUGCCGGUAAACUUCUCUACAUCAAUCUUUGCUUGAUGGAAAACCAUUGUCUUGAUUUCCCCUUUCGAAUCCUUCGAAUUCAAUUCUUUUGCCAUCUUUCCACCAACUUUCAUGCACUAAACAAUCACCAAACGAAGGUAAACAAAUCUGAAAUUCACACCGGAAUUUCAACAAACACCUUCUAUGCAACCCACGAACAAAAGGUAGAACCUUGGACUUGAAACACAAUUAAGAAACUCACUGCGGAAUUUCUUCAAACACCUUCAAGACGCUCAAGAUCUAACCGAAGCUCUGAUGCCACUUGUUGUGCGCAGCGGAAACUAAUGCACAAAUAAGAUGAUUGAACUAAUGUAUGAAAGUAAAACAAAACAACAAAAUCAAACAAGCAACCACACAAGACACAAGAUAUACGUGGUUCGGCAAUAUGCCUACGUCCACGGGGAGAAAGGAUGAUGCUUUUCUGAUCGAGACAAUUGUACAAGCCCUCACGAAGAAACCAAAGUCUUCUUCCUCACAAAAGUUCUCCAACUCUCUAAUGGCUUCUCACAAUCUCUCUCGCAUAAAAAAACUUUUUUUUUCUACUUCUAUUUGGCUUUAUAACAUAGCCUUACAAUAGACCACGAAUUGGGCUUAAACAGGCCCAUAUAGCACAAAAGCAAAGGACGUUCCUGAACUAUACCAUCAACGUACGUACGUCGAAUACACGUUCGUACGUUCUUUGAUCCAAAAGUUAUCUGUGAUGCUGAACGUACGAACGCCCUAACUGCGUACGUACGUUCCUGAACAGAAAACUUCCCUUCGUCCUUUUCUUUUUCACAAAAAAAACCCAACACACACUCCAUUUUUCGAGCUCGCGCCCAUUUCCAUAAUCCAUCAUCAUUCUCCACAUCCAUUUUUUCGUCACUUGACAUCACUCAACUUUUAUUUUUUUCUAAUCGGAUUUUUAAUCAAACCCAAAUUCCUUUCCAAUUUCUUUCGUUUAAUUUAUUUUCCUAUAUUUUUCUACCGUCUGUUUUUUUACUCAGAUUGUGUUUAUUUUUUCUUCUUUACCUAACAGGUUUCACCCAUCGGCUAAAGAGGGGGCGAUGUAUUGACCCCCCUUAACGUGCUCAAGCCCAAGUCAAUUACAAGUCAAAGCCCAAGACUUUAAUCAAUAAGAGCCUAAACCCAAUUCAAUUAGUAAUAAGGCUGUUACUACAUUUAAUAUCAAUUAUGGGUUUUAUCUAUUUUAAGUCCAUUAUAUUCAAUAAGGUUAAUAUGGUAAAACUAAAUCUUUGUAGAGAUUUUCUUAACCUAAUCCAACUACAACUCCAACAUCUCUACAACUCAUCUUCCUAAUUAAUAGGACAUAUACAUAAUGUAGUAACCACUUUUAAGUCCAAAUAUAUGGGACUACAAUACUACAAUACAUUAGGGAUCAUGGGAUCACAUCCUAAUCAAACUCUACAUUUGAACUACGUUAUAAAAAGUUUGAUUCCAUCUCUCUUAUGGCUAGGUAGGCAAUUAAGAAGCAACUUAGUGCAGCCAUAAUCAAUCACUAAAAACCUAUUCAUUUAUCUUCAUCUUCUCCAAUACCUUACAUCACAACAUUAGGGGUUUCUUCUUAAUUCUACAUCACAUUGGUGUGAAAUCCGGUUGAAACAAUAUCUAUACCAUGGCCAAUUUGCUGGUAGUCUAGGAAAAUAAUAAUAUGACAGAUUAUGUUCUAAUUUGUUCUAACUAAAAACAAGAAUUUCUAACAAUUUGGUGAUUACAAUGCAUUUCAAACAAUAGUAAAAAAAAAAACCGCGCAACGAGUAAAGUUAAUACUUAGUAGGCCACAUUUUGUAAGCGCGCUUUGGAUCAUUACAUUUUUAGGGCCGACCCUGUAUAGAUAUCCCACUUAUAGUAUUCUGUAAACUCAAAAGAGAAAAACAUGUUUUGAUUUCAAAACACGUACUGUAAGUAAUUGUCAGAUAAUAACAGUUCGACGAACCAAUUCCAUAGAACUGUGUAUGAUCGUCUCCGUCAUACAUAUAUAUAGAAUUUCUUCUAACCACAUAUUCCAAUGAACUCAUCCCAACCAAAUAUAUGAAAUUUGGUAGAUAUGGUUUUCAACAUUAACUGGACAUUGAUGGAACUUCUUAUGGUAACCCAGGUCCAAGUGGUAUGGUGUUGGUUGUGUGCUUAGAAACCAUUUGGCAGGUUUUCAUGUUUCCAUGUCUCUCCCUAUCUUGUAUCCUUCUUCGCUCUUUGCAGAGUUUAAGGCACUCCAUUUAGGACUUUUGAUAAUCAAUGCCUUAAAUCUUCGCAAUGUAAUUAUUGAAACUAAUUGUCAAGUGCUUGCUACCAUGAUGAAUUCUUCUUCUCUAUUAGCGGUCCCCAAAGAUAUUCAGGUUAUUUUUGUAGAGGUUUAGAAGAUAUGGUAUGCAAUUGGCAGACCAUCUAUUACUUGGGCGUAUCGAGAGACAAACUUUGUUGUCGACACUCUAGCGAAGUUUGCUGCAACUAAAGCAAAGGAUCCUACUUGGCUUUCCACACCAACUUUUGAGCGACAACGGUGCCAGAUGAUUUGUAUUUUGUAGAUCUAGGAUUUGCUUCUGUUUGGGGGCUCUUCACCCCCUGCUUUCUUAGCUCAGUAUGUUUUUUCCGAUGUAGUUGGUACUUGUAAUAAUCGUUUAGUUCAGUAAUAUAGUAAUAAAACACUAAUUUUAUUAUAAAAAACAAAAAACAAAAAAACAUUAACUGGACAUUUAUAUUUUUCCUAAAAAAAAACAUUUAGAACAAAUCUAACCAACAUCUUUAUUGCACUAUUUAUGUAUGAAAGGACAUUUACAUUUUUGGCUACACAAUAUAGCACACCUAACACCACCUCUCUCUCUAUAUAUUAAGGGAUUAUCAACUCACUACGUACUGUAUAUCGGCUAAGCUAUACUAGAUCGAGUAUCGUUAAAGGAAAAUAGAUAGAUCGAAAAACAUGGCAGAAGAGGACCUAAGAGUGCAAGGCCAAGGUUAUAUAUGGGGACUUAUUUGGGGUUAUGUCGAUGCCGUGGUACUAAAAUGUGCCUUGAAUCUUAAAAUUGUAGAUAUUAUAAAUAGCCAUAACCAUCCCAUUUCCUUAUCAGAAAUAGCAGAUGGGAUUUCUUCACCAUCUUUAAUUAUUAGACAUUAGUUGUCUAGCUAGCUCACAUCAUGCGGUUUUUUCUUAGUCCGCAGACGUGUUUUCACAUCUCAAUUAACAGAAGAUGGAACCACACUUUAUGGGCUGAUGUAUUAACCUAUUUCUAGAUUAAUGCACUACUAGGUCAGGUCGCUGGGAGACUUCACCAAAGGGGGAGAUUUUAGGUCGGGGUGGCUGCACCUCGUUGAGAUCGAGAUUGCCUACGUACUCUUAGCUCGAGGGGAUUGAACUUAGAGAUCAAGCCAUCGUAGUUCUGUUCUUAUAGAAGGUAGAAAGGCGUGGAUCGUGGAUCUUGCAGAUUCUCCGUCAUCAUAAUGAGGAUUAAUUGUGUAACGCGCGUGGAUCAUCCCUGUGAAUUAAUUAUGUAACUGACGAGAAUAUUUUGUGCAUUGAAUGAGAGCGCGUGUGUGUAAGCAGGCCACUGCUCGUUAUGAGGUCGAGCUGUUGUGGACGAGCUACUAGCAGGUAGAGAGUGGCGACCUGGUGGAUGAGUGACUGUGCCACAUGGCUGCUUUUGAUUGGUUGGAGUAUGUAGUACCCCUACAUAAGCCCCCUCUUUUUAGGUCGGCUGUAGAAGUCGGGCUGAAAAGACUAAUAACUCUGAUCGAUGCUGAUUUGUGGUUUGCUUUUUGAAUCUUCUGACGUGGCGGUCAUGCAAGCUUGUCUGUACUAAUCAUGGCGCUCUUACGGGGAAGUGGGAGAUUUUCCUCGAGCAGUUAGCUGCGCAGUUAUGGCAACUGGCGCACGUCUUGCCUGAUAUAGUCGUUGCGUGGCACGUGGGUUGAUCCGACGAUGGAUGUGAAUCUUUUAUGAAGUGGAAAAUAACUGCAAUGGAAGUGGAUCGUCUGUUCGAUCUCAGCCAUUCACCUUUUUCGAACUGAUGGCUGGGAUUGUACGAGCUACAGUAUUUAAACUGUAGCUUUGUUGAGAAGGGUUUACCUAUUUCGCUUUCAUUUGAAUUGCUGUCGCUUUACUCUUGCGAUCUGAAGAACUUUGAGAGCUCGUGAGGUUAGUUUUCUUCUCUUUCUGUUCCUUCAUCUUCUGUUUUCAUUUCUGUUGCUUGAGAGAAAUGUCUGAUUUGAGUGACUCUCAAAAUGAUAACCUGAGUGGUGGUGGCGGUGAGGAGUAUGAGUCUGAAAGGACUCAUUCUGAACCUUUGUCGCCCGUUCGUGGUGUAGACCCUGAUAGCCCCCAGAGUAGUGGCUCUCACGGGGCUGACUCGUCUGACAAGGAGAUGGUGGAAGGAGACGAUGGUUCGAUGUGUAGAGUAGUGAACCUUAAAGACGUAAAUAGGCACAUUGCAUUUAGGAAGCAGUAUGGUCUUAGCUCCAUUGAUCAUUUGGAGAUUAGAUUUUUAGGAGAUCGUUUACUUUCCGCUGAGUAUCGACCCAAAAAUCCUUUCUCGACUGUUUUCACCUUGACCCAAUUUCGAGCUGGGUUGAGGCUGCCAUUGUCUUAUUUGGUGGUCGACCUGUUGAAUGCUAUUGGUCGAGCCCCCUGCCAGAUGAAUGGCAAUUUCUGGAGGAACAUGAGGGUAAUUGAAGACCUCAACAAGUUGCAUAGGUGGAACGUCACUGUGAAGGAUGUGUUGGACCACUUCUGCUUCAAACGUUCUUCCAAGGCUGACUUUUCCGGCUAUAACAUGCAAGUUAGGCCAGAACGUUUGCCUUUGAUCUAUCCUGUAAGUAGUGAGCCAUGGUGGAAAGAUCCCAUGCUGAUUACCAGGUCGAUCAUUGAGGGGAGCAUCCAGUUGCGUCAUGUGACUAGGAAUGAUGCUCGUAAGUUUCUGGUCGUUAGUCUUAGGAGAUUUUUCUUUUUCUGUACUUGAUUAUGUUGUAUCUUUUUGCAGCGAUCAGGGACGAUCAUCUUGUGAGGAAGAACGAUCUGAAAUCCGCCUUGAACGGUUUUGGUUUCUUGUCUGACAAGCGUAAGAUAAAGUUCUUACCCCACCUGAGGGAACAUUUCAUUCCUAAAGGUGGUGCGAAAACCGUUGAAGACGAGCUAGAGAGGAGGAAGUCGCUGAGGAAGGCUCAUAUGUCUUCUAUUCAUAAAACUAAGGCUGGGAGUUCUGGUGGCGGCUCGCGUGCUGGGGAGAAGGAACGAGCUGGUGGUAGCUCGAGGCCUGCUGAAAGAGAGCGGUCUGGUGUCGCUGUUCGGAGGUCGGAGAAGGAACGACCUGUGGAGAAAGAGAGAGUUAGUGGUAGCUCGCGCCCGGUGGAGGUAGUGGCGAGCCCCCUAGUCGUGUCUCCUCCGCCUUCAUUUCCCAAACUGCCUGCCUUUUCUGGGCAGAAGAAGAGGUCUCAUUCAGGUAACCUGAAGCUGUUGGAGCGGCCCAAUGUGCCGACACCUGCUCUUGCCCCGUCUGGCAGAGCUCCUGAGAUGUCUGUUGUGUCCAGGAAGACUGCUGUUCGGCCCUUGGAGAAAGGCAAGGGUGUGUCGUCUGUGUUUCGCCCUGGGUCGUUCGACUAUUUGGACGGCCGUGGUGAAAGGCAUGUCGUAUAUGAUAACGACAGUGCUAUUGACGACCCCUGCGUCGCCCGGGCUGUGAUGAAGGCAUCGUUCUGGAAGCUGAUGCUCGAGCUGUGAAGUCUCAGACUUUGUUGGUCACCUGCUCAAAGUUAAAUGCGGCGCUGGCUUUGGUGAGUGUUGCCAUAAUUAUUAUUUUCUUUGUUUCUGCUCAGUCGUCGUUGCCUAAUUCUGCUUGCACUUGCAGGUUAAUGCGAGCUUCCAGGAAGUGCGUCUUGUCGCUGAAGUUGGUGCCCGUGCUGAGGUUGAGCUGAAGGAGCUGAACGAGAAGCUUGAGCAGGCGAGGAACGUUGCUACUGUUGCGGAGUGCAAAGUGAGGGACAGGGAUGCUCAGGUCGCAGCGUUGAAGGAGACCAAUGAGCAGUUAAAGGAAAAUUUGGCUGCUGCUAAGGCUUCUGCUGAACACUGGCAGAACGUAAGCCAGGAAAAUGGUGCAGCGUGGCAGGCCUACUGUGAGCAACUGCAGAAAGCUUUGAUGGGGUCGCCCGAGGGAGAGGAGACGCGAGGUUGGGCCGAAGAAACCUUGGCGCCAGCUCAGGACGCCUUGAUGGGCCCUAGUGACCAGGUCGCCAGUGGCGGUAUGGAAAUUGAUGGUUCCAGCGACCAGCCAGCGCAGCAAUGAACUAGUCCGGGUCCCAACUUUCUUGUAUUGGGUAACCUUGUGCAAAGUUUGCUUCUUGCACUCCUUGUUCUUGCAGUACGUCUUCUUUGGUCUUCCUCUAAGCAGUCCUCUGAGUUUGUGAGCUUGAGAAGACAAUUGUUUUUGUUUGUAGUUUUGUUGAACAGUAUUAAUCUUGAUGAGCUUGUACUUAAGCUGUUCUGAUCAGCUAGUUUCCAGGGAGUCCUGGUAGCUCGUUCAGAAGGCAGGUAGACGAGAUGAAUGGCUGCAAGCAGGACGGACGACUGAAACAGUUCUUCUUAUAUGCCUUAGUUUAACUUUACUUUUGCCUGUAAUGGUUAGAAUCUCCUUAAGUAAAAAGAAAAUUCAAUGAUUUACCUGUUAUUGUCAUUCUUGCUACAUUGUCUGCUUGUAUGAGUUUUGCAAACAAGUAGUAACCAUAGUGUUGGACCUGCUGGUGGAUGAGGUAGCGUGCAUGGUUACUUGAUUAUACAGAGGUCGUGGGAAUGAUAUGACCAAUGCACCAAGUUAAGUUGCAGAUGUUUGAACUUAACAAAUUAAAAUCAUCAAAGGGACUAGAGUUUUGAUAAUUUGUAGGUCGAGGGAGUAGACCUUUAGGAGCCAUUCAUGUUUGAGCUGAGAUGAAGGCAACAAUGUGUUUGUAUAUUUGAAAUGUAAUGAAUGGAUGCUUACAUUUCAUUGAUAAAACUUUUUCAAGUGAUAAGCAUUCCAUGGGUUCUUAACUAUCUCUCCUUCUGGUGUUUGAAGACGAUAAGAACCGUUGCUUUGAACCUUGGUGAUAAUGUAAGGUCCUUCCUAGUUGGCAUUGAGCUUGCCAAUGAUAUCCUUCCUCUUGUUGUGGAACAUUUUCCUUAGAACUAGUUCUCCUGGUUGAAAAGAUCUAGGUCGUACGCCUUUGUUAUAAGCUCGCUUAAGUCGUUGUUGAUACUGCUCAAGCUUUAUAACUGCGUGGUUUCGUCGCUCUUCGAGGAGAUCUAUUCCGAACGACCAGAUCUGAUCGUUAAGCUCUGUAUCGACCAGAAGGGAUUUGGUCGUUCCAAAUGUUAACUCGGUGGGAAUAACGGCCUCAACUCCAUAGCAUAGACUGAAUGGUGACAUCCCAGUGGAUGUACGAGGGGUUGUUCUAUAAGCCCAUAGGAUGUUCUCCAACUGUUGUGGCCAUUGAUCAUGCUGAUCUUCGAGCUUCUUCUUCAGGUUGUUUAGAAUCUGUCGAUUUGCAGCUUCGACCUGGCCGUUGGCUUGUGGAUAUCUAGGCGUUGACCUUGAAUGCUCGAUUUUCCAUAGGUUGUAGAAAGCCUUGAUGUUUUUGCCAACGAACUGAGUGCCAUUGUCUGUGACUAUUCGUUUUGGUAGGCCAAACCUUGUGAUGAUGUUUUCCCACAUGAAUCUCUGCACAUCUGCUUGGGUGACGUUGGUUAGUGCAACAGCUUCCACCCAUUUAGUGAAAUAGUCGACGGCCACUAGAACGAAUCUCUUCUCUGAUUUCUUCUCUUUGAUUAGGGGGCCCAUGAUAUCAAGCCCCCACAUGUAGAAUGGCCAUGGUGUAGUGACGUUGAUGAGAUCAUUGGGAUGUUGAUGUUGCUUAUUAGCGAAUCGUUGGCAUUCUACACACUUUAAAACGAAUUUCUUGGCAUCUUCCUUCAUUCUUGGCCAGAAGUAUCCCUGGGAGAUUGUUUUAUGGGCUAAGGUUCGCCCUCCGGAGUGGUUUCCACAUUCCCCUUCAUGGAUUUCUUGGAAUAUCAUCUGGCCCUGUUUGGGGAUUAGGCACCGUAAUAACAAACCAGUUGCGGACUUUCUGAAAAGUUUACCCUCAUGGAGUUUGUACAUUGUGACUUUAUGUAACAGCUGAUUGGCUUCUUUUUUGUUGGAUGGUAGGACAUCAGUUUGAAGGUAAAUAAUGAAAGGCUCCAUCCAAGUCCCUUGGAUAUCUGCUGGAGUUGUUUCUAGUAGAUCAGAGAUUUGAUGAACAUUUUCUUCCUUGAAUAGAUAUGCGGGCUGUGUAUUGAUUGCUAUGGUGAGAGCCCGCGGUCUGUCUGACUCGAUCUUAGAUGCUAAGAAUGCCAAUGAAUCAGCAUGCCUGUUGUCAUCUCUUGGUAUGUGCUCGAUUGUGAAAUAACUGAGCUUGUUGAUGAGCUCCUUCGCUUUGCUAGCAUACCUGAUUAGGUUGACCCUAUUGAUCUGGUAAUUACUGGUAAUCUGAUUGACUACCAGUUGUGAGUCGCUGUACACCAUCAGGCAAACUGCUUGUAAGUCGAUGGCCAUUUGUAGGCCUUGGAUUAGGGCUUCGUACUCGGCCUCGUUGUUGGAGGUCGCAAAGUCGAGACGAGUUGAUCUCUCGAGCUGUGAACCUUCAGGAGAAAUUAAUACAGCACCUAUGCCACUUCCGUUGGAGUUGUGGGAACCAUCUACAUAUAGCUGUCAUGUGUCAGGAGGGCUGUAUUGGACUUGCCGUGUUUCAGGUUCUGGUUCCCAAUUGGUAUCUUCUGCUGGAUAGUCUACCAAGAAAUCUGCAACGACCUGGCCCUUGACGGCCUGCCGUGAAACGAACUCAAAAGUGUAAUCACCCAACUCGGCUGCCCAUCGAGCCAUACGACCUGUUUUGUUCUUCUUUUCUAGUAUAUGUCGUAGUGGCUGGUCGGUGAUUACUUUUACAGUGUGCGCUUGGAAAUAAGGUUUGAAUUUGCAUGCAGCGUAAAGUAAGGCUAAUGCUAACUUCUCCAGAGGUGUGUACCUUAUUUCGGCCUGCUGUAAGACUUUGCUUGUGAAGUAGAUAGGUCGCUCGACCCUGGUUUUCUUCUUUAAAAAGUACUGCACUGAUCGCAAAAUCUGAUGUUGCGAGGUAAACGCCGAGUACAUCUCCAUCGUUGGGCCUUGUGAGAACUGGUGGAGUAGACAAAUAUGCCUUGAGAUCAUUGAAGGCUUUCUCGCAUUCUUCUGUCCACUCAUAAGUAGCCCCCUUCUUUAGGAUGUGAAGCAUUGGUCGGCAUUUGUCUGAAGCUCUGGAGAUGAAUCUGUUCAGAGCUGACACCAUGCCGUUGAGUUUCUUGAUUUGUUUCUUUGUUUUUGGGCUUGGCAUGUCGAUCAGGGCUCUGAUCUGGUCGGGAUUUGCUUCAAUGCCUCGUCUGGUGACUAGGUAGCCGAGGAAUUUUCCUGAUGCAACCCCGAACAGACACUUCUCUGGAUUAAGACGCAUUCUGUAUUGUCUUAAUCUUUGGAAUGCCUGGUCGAGAUUGUACAAAUGAUCUUGUUCUUUGUCACUCUUCACUAGCAUGUCGUCAAUGUAGACUUCCAUUGUUCGACCUAGGAGGUCGUCGAACAUUCUGGUGACCAGUCUUUGAUAGGUCGCUCCUGCAUUCCUUAACCCGAAUGGCAUAACCUUGUAACAAAAAAUACCUUGCUCUGUUGUGAAAGAGGUCUUCUCUUGGUCAGGCUCGUACAUUGGGAUCUGGUUAUACCCUGAGUAUGCGUCCAUGAAUGACAGUAGCUCAAAACUGCAUGUCUGAUCGACUAGCCUAUCGAUUCGUGGCAGUGGGAAUGAAUCUUUAGGACAAGCUUUGUUCAAACUUGUGAAGUCGAUGCAGACUCUUGUUUUCCCAUUCUUCUUUAAGACUGGUACGAUGUUGGCUAGCCAGUCUGGUGUAUCGACCUCUCUGAUAAAGUCGACCUGUUUAAGUCUGCUGAUCUCUUCAUUGACAGCUUCGUGGAAUUUGGGAGCAAGCCUUCUUGGUUUUUGCUUUACAGGUCGAUAAUUGGGAUUGACCCGCAGUUUAUGACAUGCAAUUGAUGGAUCUAUACCAGGCAUAUCGAUAUACGACCAAGCAAAAACAUCUUUAUUAGUUGAAAGAAAAUUUACAAAGUUAUUGAACUUAUCUUCCUUCAACUCUGCACCUACAUAGAUAUAUCUCGGGUCAUCUUCUGACCCAAUGUUCACACGUACACCUGGAUCAGUACUUCCGAGAUUUAGCUUGGGGGAGCUCGCUAGCUCCUUCUGUAGUUGCUAUUUGGUGGCUUCACUGUUUUCUUUGGAAGGGCUCUUUGACUUGUUGUCGCCUUGUUGAGCCUCUGGUGAGAUUGGGCUCUUUCCUUUGACUUCAGCAUCCUUGGCUCCAGAGGUGGAUGGCUUUGACUGUGGUACAGCUUCAACAAUGCCAUGGCAUUCCUGUGCGGUGUUCUGAUUGCCGCGAAGUUCCAUUAUCCCAUGAGGGCCAGGAUAACGGAAUACUUGAUGAUACGUUGACGACACACCUCUCAUAGCAUGGAUCCACUUUCGACCCAGAAUCGCAUUGUACUUGCUUGCGAUAUUGAGGAUGCUGAACUUGGUGGUCAUAACGACCUUGUCUUCCUUCCUGCCCACGGUGAUGGGCAACAGAAUUUCACCCUUGGGGUCCUCUCUUGAACUGUUGAAGCCCAAGAUGGGAGUGAAAUCGGGGAUGAGAACUGAAUCAGGAAACCUCAUGUCUUUGAAGGUUCUGUACAUGAGGAUGUUGCAUGAUGCGCCAGGGUCUAUGAAUACCCUCUUGAUGGUGUAGUCUGCAAUCCGCAGCUCGACGACAAGGGCGUCGUUGUGAGGAGUAACAAACUUGUUGAGAUCGUCCUCGGUGAAAGUGAUGUCGGACUCUUGGCGGGCAGGGAUGUUGAAACGAGCUGCUCGGCCAGUGAUGGAGUAGACAUGAUGAAGAUGCUCUACUCGUUUCUUCUUCUCUCGAGAGACAGGGGUGUGGUUGGAUUCGUCAAUCAUGUAGACUACAUGACUGUCUGAUUCACUGUCGCUGUCGAUCUUAUGUGCGACCUUCUUGUUGAUUUGGUCGCGUAGGUCUCCUGUUGGACCUAAACGUUGGGAGAGGCUACGCCCUCUGUUGCGGACUGGACUUGUUGAGGCCGUUCUGGCCUUGCUGUGAUUUCUUUUUGGGGAACGGGGAGGCGUUCUGGACUCCUUCCUCACCCGCUUGCCUGUGGAUUCCUCAUUCCUUCCGAGGAUCCAAUUGUUGAGCCUUUUCUCAUCGGCCCAUGUUUGCAGUGCGCGUUUCAGAACGUGACAGUCAUCUGUUUGAUGACACCGUACCUUGUGGACUUUGCAGUACGGUCGUCCAGAUGUAUCCUCCAGCUGUGUGAAGGUAGGAAUCCUGCACCAGUGGUUGUGCUUGAUUCGCUCGAAUAUGUAACCGGCUGGUCUUGUGAACCGGUGAUACUCUCGCUGCUCAGUAGGCAACGACUUACCCUUGAGCCUCUUGCCAUCUGACCGAGGUCGCUUGGUUGAGUCAGACUCCACAUUGCUGACUACGUGAUUCUUCUCCCUCCCAGUGAGGGCUUCCUCGAACUUGAUAUAACGAUCUACCUUUAGGUAGAGCUCGUCCAGGGAUGAAGGUCGUUUCAUGGCUAGCGACUUGUGGAGGUCGGACCCCUGGGUCAGACCGUGAGUGAAUGCGAUGGUUGCAAAGGUCUCGUGCUCCUUUGCAAAAUCCUGAAUUGAGUGUAAUUCAGACUUAAAACUAGCAAAGAAAACGUUUAGUGACUCGCCAUCUCGCUGCUUGACUUUGAAGAUGGAAUCGAUGGUGACUGGGCGCUUCUUGUUGUGGAUGUAGAAGAUGACGAAUUGUUUCUCGAGCUCUGCAAAGGAGCUGAUGGAUCCUGAUUUCAAACGGUGAAACCAGUCGAGAGCAGGUCCGGUGAGACUAGACUGGAACAGCAAACAUAAAAGGUGAUCCUCCUUGAUCAGAGGAAGGGAUUUCCGGAAUCCCUUGAUGUGGUCUGUUGGAUCUCCGACUCCGGCAUACUGGUCGAAUUUGGGGGCGUUCAGCUUGUUCGGCAAAUCAUGUUCAAGGAUCUCCUUGGAGAAAUGAGACUCCUGGAACUGCUGGAGGGACUGUACAGCAAGUUGCUCCGCGGUGUGGCUCUUGGAGUGGUGAAAGAGAGCCUGGGAGGCUUUGAAUUCCGCCAGUUGUUGGCUGAGUUGUUCGUAUUUCUGGUUGGAAUCAUCAGCAGGAAUGACUCCAUGUCCGCUAUUUUCACCUUGUUGGGGGUUGGUUUGUGCGGCUUUCAGGCGUGCAUUUUCUUCCUGCAAAAGAGUGAUUUGAGCAUGCAGAUUGAUAGUUAACUCUGGGGUAGUCAUUUGAAUAGAUGACUUUGAGAAGGGUGGGAGGGUUUGGGUUUUUCGAUUAUAUCGAAUUCCUUGCAGUCGGCGCCAAAUGUAUUAACCUAUUUCUAGAUUAAUGCACUACUAGGUCAGGUCGCUGGGAGACUUGACCAAAGGGGGAGAUUUUAGGUCGGGGUGGCUGCACCUCGUUGAGAUCGAGAUUGCCUACGUACUCUUAGCUCGAGGGGAUUGAACUUAGAGAUCAAGCCAUUGUAGUUCUGUUCUUAUAGAAGGUAGAAAGGCGUGGAUCUUGCAGAUUCUCCGUCAUCAUAAUGAGGAUUAAUUGUGUAACGCGCGUGGAUCAUCCCUGUGAAUUAAUUAUGUAACUGACGAGAAUAUUCUGUGCAUUGAAUGAAAGCGCGUGUGUGUAAGCAGGCCGCUGCUCGUUAUGAGGUCGAGCUGUUGUGGACGAGCUACUAGCAGGUAGAGAGCGUGGCGACCUGGUGGAUGAGUGACUGUGCCACGUGGCUGCUUUUGAUUGGUUGGAGUAUGUAGUACCCCUACAGCUGACGACACAUGCUGCAAAAUGGCUACUGCAAGACACGGAGCUCACUCUUGCACCCGUACUGCUAAUGCAAAAAGAUGGAAUGAAGGUGCGUCCCUUUCACAAAAAUGUGGAAGAAGGUGGUGUUAAAGUCGACGCUUGGGACAAAGGUGCGGCGUACCCAGAGUACAAUGAACGUUUCAAUGCGACUAUGGCUUCUAUAACUAAGAUAGCUAUAAAUGUCUUGUUGAAUUAUGAGAAUGGAUUUGAUGGCAUAAAAUCGCUCGUUGAUGUUGGAGGUGGGUUAGGAUUGACUAUUGGAGAAAUUGUAAAAGCUCAUCCACACAUUAGUGGUACGGUAUCAACUUUGAUCCACAACAUGUUAUAGCUGCAGCUCCGGAUACAUGUCAGUGGUUAUAUGUUCCUUGAUAUUCUAGAAGCUGAUGCUGUGAUCAUAAAGGUUAGAACAUUAAAUUAAACAUUUGUAUUUGAAUUGAUUUAAUAUAUAUAUAUUUCCUGCUUAUUUUUGUUGGUAUAUAUGCACGUGUAUAUGAUUGAGCAGAUGAUAUUAAUUGACAUUCGACACUUUUUUUUUGUGUGUGUGUGGGGGGGGGGGGGUAAAAUUAAAUGAUCGAGCAGUGGAUACUACAUGAUUAUGAAGAUGAAAAAUGUGUGAAGUUACUGAAAAAUUGUCACAGAGUAGUAUCGAAAAAUGGAGGAAAACUCAUAAUCGUGGAUGGGGUGUUGGAGCCAGAUGGAAAAGGUGCAUUUGAUGAUAUGAUUAUAAAUUUCGAUAUGGUGAUGAUGGCUACAACUGGCGGUAAAGAAAGAACUGAAACAGAAUGGAAGAAAAUAUUAGAAUGUGGAGGGUUUCCAAACUACAAAAUAAUACGGAUCCCAGCAUUACUAUCUAUAAUUGAAGAUUAUCCAUCAGGGUGAUUAAUAUGCAUGCUAAGCUUAACGACCACUUCGAAUACAAUCUAUAUAAUAAACCAUUGGCAUGAAACACGAUGCACAUAUAUACAGUUAUGCACCAUGCCUCAAAAUUUGCCUGCAGCUCAAGAAAAAAGCAGGAUAAUUAUUGGGCUCGUCCUCUAUCUACCUGCAGAAAAUGCUAUUCUUUCGUCGAAAUAAUGUUCUUUGUAACUAGUUAAAUCCUUGAAGAUCGCUAAUCAAUAACAAAAUAUUGCGCAAAUGGUAAUCGUUUCCAUGACCAUAUAUCCAUCAGUCAGUAAUUGGAAUCUGGGUUCCCAUCAUAGUUUCAAUUCUCUUGGCCUACACCACACUCCCUAUAUACAUAUAUAUAGAACAUUUGGCAACAACAUCGAAUGUCUUGACCAAGUAUAAAAAUCAGGGUAAUGGAGAAAUCCUAUGGCAGAUUCUGCUACUGUUCUGUCGAUUAUGAAACUAUGAUGGGAGUUGUAAGUUUGAUCUUUAUUCAAUAUUCUUGAAUCUUGACUAUUAAGCUGUGACUAUAUAUAAUCUGAAGUUCUGAACUCUGUGGAUUUAUACUACGCAGUAUGGGCUUGGGUAAUUUAUACUAUGCAGUAGCAAUAGCAGUAGUGGUUUUUAUUUUACAAACGUUCUACUGCAUGUAUCCUCAAUUAGCUAGAGAAGGGUUGGAAUCCAUUUACAAAUUUAUCCGUACACUAGAGCUACUCGACCAGCGCCACCAUUUUUAAAUGUCACUGGUACAUAUACAAGUCGUGAGACGUGAGUCAUGACCAGUCCAUACAAUACUUGCAUACAGAUAAGCAGAUCACUGGCAGGUCCAGGUGCAACUGGAAUAAUUUGGGUAUGUAUUAAUAAUUGAGCUUGCUACACAUGACCAUGCAUGUAGACAUGUAGUGUCAAAUUAGGCUUCAUGGUGUAUAAAAUAUAUAACCAUGUGCAACAUUUAGUAUUAGUAUUCCGAAUGGUUAUGGUGCACACAUAAUUCAUAUAUAUAAAAAAAAAAAAAAAAAAAGAUAGAAAAUAAUAAUGUUGGUAGCUAGCUUGCUUGGUCUUAUUGUAGACUAAGAAAAAGAAUUGCUUAAACGUGAUGCAACAACAACAACUUGCAUGAUCUUCAGAUACUGUAUAGUUUUAGUCAUAGAUUAAGAAGAAUUAUUAUUUGAUUAUUAUACACCAAAGUUGAAGCAGUCAAGCUUAAUAUACAGUCUUAUUUGAAUCUAUCCCCAGAAAGUCCAGGUUCAAAGGUGAGACUAGCUUGAGAGUGUGUGACACACCCAUCUCCCAUAAUUUUUGAAUAUCAUUAUGUUGUUGAAUAAAUAAACUUGAAAACGAUGUCACAAAAUUGAUUUUGAUAUGGCUGAUUGACUUCAUUAACUUUGGUUACAACUUACAAGUUACACAGAUAUAUGGCUGUGGAAUACAACAAACAUAAACAAAAGAUUCUUGAGAAUAUAUAUUUGUGGUAGAAAUAACACAGAAGCUUCAGGUUGUUUCUAUAAGAUUACAUAAAGUUAGACUGUUUUUACAUACUGAAAGUCAUUCAACACCAGAAAUGCACAUGAAUUUGUUGGUUUACAUGCCCAAAUCACCAAAUGUUACAUGCUCACGAGUCACCACUAGUUUAGUCUGGGACUGGUGAGGCCAAAUGGUAACCAUAAACCAUGACAUGAAAUGGGAAGCUUGUAAAUUAGUUACAUGGAAAGUAUAUACUCAAAUCACCGUGACUAUUUAGAACUCAUAUGGGUGAUUAGUUCGUUAAUUUUUUGAAUAAUCAUGAUUAAAUUGGUCUUUUGAUUUGGGCGGGAAAUUGAUUUCUUGGAACUUUUUUUUUGUGGGCGGGGGGGGGUUGAAUCUACUUGGAACGUUUGCACUCAUAGUUUAAAAUUUCGAAUCAGGCGAAAUUUAGGAUUCAGAAAAAAAUGGUAUAUUCCGAUAUUCCAACUCUUGAAACAAAUAUAUCACCUAAAAUAUCAAAAAUAUUCUCGGAUAUUCUCGAAAUUUAAAAUACCAAUUCUCUAAAAACCGACAUAUUUUACCAAAAUUUAGUAAAAUAUAUCGGCAGUUUGAAUUAUGUUUGCACCCAUCAGUCUAUCACAAAAAUUAUUAAAAACUCACUUCUCUAAAUCACCUACAUAUUUAUCAGGAUUCUCUCAUUUCUACAGUAUUUUCUAUAUUAAUAAAACCAAAAAUUAAUAUACACAAAAAAAAAAAAAAAUUUAGGGAUUUAACAGAAAAAACCAUUUUCUAACCUUUUUAAGUUCUCAAAUCAAUAAAAUGAUUUUAUAAAAACAAAAAAAAAAAAGUUUAUCUCAAAUCUAAUAUUUUCAUAAAAAAAAAAAAAAAAAUUUAUAAGUGGUAUCUCAGUCAUUAUGCCAAUCUACCCAACCAUUAUUAAUCCAAAAUCCAAUCCAAUCUAGUAGCAAUCUUUCUCACAGUUUAGCCCUUUAAAACAAAACUGUCAACCUGUUUUGACUGUGAUUUGAGCUGCUUGAAUUUGAUAACACAAUCUUGAAUCUUGAAUCUUGAUCAUCAUGGCAACCAUAAUCUGGUAAUUGUGUUUUUCACAUUCCACACAAAAAAAAAAAAAAAUAAUAAUAAUAAUAUGAUUUAUUAUGCCAGAACAGAACAAGCAAUUCAUUAAUUAAUUAAUUAAUUUAUUUAUUUUAUGGUUGACAUUUUUGAACCAACAUAUAAAAAAAAACUCCUCUCUAGUCUCUACACCAACAUAGUGGUAGUAGCUCUUUCUUUCUUUCAUCCAAUUUCCAAAUUCCAUGGCGAUUUCUUUUCAAUUCUCUCGUCUUUCUCUUCCAACUGAACUUGAAUCUCGCUUUACACUUCUAUCACGAUGUCAGAAACCUUUCUCUGUUCGUUGUCAUAACGAACCUUCUUCUGGUUCUUCUUCAUCUAUAGAAUCUGAUUUCGAUGCUAAAACAUUUAGACAUAAUUUAACAAGAAGCAAGAAUUAUAAUCGAAGAGGUUUUGGUCAUAAAGAAGAAACCUUAGAACUCAUGAAUAGUGAAUACACAAGUAAGUUGGAAAAUUUUAUUUCUUUGUGUUUGGUUUUUUUUUUUAAAUAAAUUGAUUGAUUUUGCUCAAUUGAAUUUUGAAUUUUGAAUUUUGAUUUUUUUAUAGGUGAUGUGAUUAAGAAGUUGAAGGAGAAUGGAAAUGAAUAUACUUGGGGAAAUGUUACUGUGAAAUUAGCGGAAUCUUAUGGAUUUUGUUGGGGAGUUGAAAGAGCUGUUCAGAUUGCUUAUGAAGCUAGAAAACAAUUUCCUGAUGAAAAGAUUUGGAUUACUAAUGAAAUUAUUCAUAAUCCUACUGUUAAUAAGGUAUAUUUCUUCUUCAAUUUUGCUCAGAAUAAAUAGAAUUUUGAAUAAAAUUUAUGGAAAGGUUGACUUUUAUUUCCUUUAAUCUCAUACUGAAUUCGUUUUCGCUUUCUUUUUCGCUUGUUAGAAUCUGAAUCAAUUGUUAGAAUUAGUUUUUGAAUUAGCCAAGGAAUAAGAAAUUUCUUGAUCACUUGUUUAAAGGGAUAAUUUUGAUUAAGACAACAAAUUGGUGUGAAUAAGUACUUUUGGAUUUAUGAAUUUUUUUGUGUGCUAAUUAAAUACAAAUUUCAUUUGUUAAUUAAGAAGGAAAAUCGGUUUGAAAAGUCCGCUUGAAGAGAAUUCAUUUGAGAUAUAAGAUGUUAAUGAAAUAUUUUCCUGUCUCCAAGUGGGAGAAUUUAUUUUUCGUGGUUAUAUAAAACAAAAACAAAUUAAAAACACAAGAAGUACUGUCUGUUCUUCCAAAAACUUUCAGGAAAUAUUUCUACUAUCAAAUGAAACUUUCCUCUUGGAUUUAAGGACCGGGCUAUUUUGAAAGGUUUGUAUCUCAGUAGGAAAUGCGAGUAGUUUCUUAUUCUAGUUUAGCCAAUAUAAGAGGUUAUGUAUGUCAAAGUUCAAAACAUGGAACAACGAGGGUAGAAAAUAUGGAUUUUAGCAUCAAAAUUGCUCAAGUAGUCGCUUCCUUCAAUAAAAUUAGAGAAAAGGUAGAUGCUUUGCGCCUUUUAAGAUGACUUCCUUCCCUGCCUGUGCUAAUAGUUGCCAAAGUGUUGAGUUAAUGAAUGUUGAUUUUACAUGAUGCUGGCAAGCAACCAUAAGCUUCUUGAGUUUUUCUUGUGUGUGUUUGAUUGGAUUUCCUUUACUUCCCUGCUUCUAGCCCCCCCCCCCCCCCCGCACACACACACACACAAAACGAUUCUCAUGGUUAACUGUUUGAUAUCAUUUAGUGGUCCAUAACAUUAGUGAUGAACAUAGUCUUGUUAGAAGUUAACAUAUUAUACCAUUGCGCUCUGAAUAAAUUCAUUUUGUUGAAAUUCUUAUUGGGUAAGUUUACACCUCUAAAUGCAGAGAUUGGAGGAGAUGGAUGUUAAGGAGAUUCCAGUUGGGGAUGGGAAGAAACAUUUUGAUGUCGUUUCAAAGGGUGAUGUUGUGAUUUUGCCUGCUUUUGGAGCUGCAGUAGAUGAAAUGUUGGAAUUGAGUGAGAGAAGUGUACAAAUUGUUGACACAACUUGCCCUUGGGUAUCCAAGGUACUUUGCUGAUAUUUAUUUUGCUUUUAUAUGCCUUUCGGUUCUAUUGUUUUUCAUUUUUCUCUCAACUGAUGAUAUUCCUUUAUUUUGUUACAGGUCUGGAAUACUGUUGAGAAACACAAGAAAGGAGAGUACACAUCCAUAAUCCAUGGUAAAUACUCUCAUGAGGAAACCAUUGCAACUGCGUCUUUUGCUGGAAAGUAUAUCAUUGUGAAGAACAUGGAUGAGGUAUUUUGCAAUUUCCUUAUUAGUGCAUCUCAAAAUUUAUACACACAGCAUUGAAGUUAGUCAGAUGCGUAGCUUCUAUUGUCAUACACCUACAACCACACACUGAAUGGAAAGACCGGGGAAUUAAAAGGAUAGGAACUUGUACAUUAUUGUGCUAACUCUGAAAUUUCAAUUUAUCUACUUGAACAGGCAAUGUAUGUAUGUGACUACAUUCUUGGAGGUGAACUUAAUGGUUCUAGCUCAACAACAGAAGCACUCAUGGAGGUAUUAGUUGCAUGUUAACUUAAAAUUUAACUAUUUUUGGCCUGAAAUUAAAAUUUUUAACUAACUACUCAUGCACCUACAGAAAUUCAAGUUUGCAGUCUCUCAAGGAUUUGAUCCAGACAAGGAUCUUAUCAAAUUAGGAAUUGCAAACCAGACUACAAUGCUUAAGGGAGAAACAGAAGAGAUUGGUUAGUCAAAUUAUACAUUCUUUAUUUGCAAAUGUAUUUUCAGUUAUAUCAGUUUACUAAUAAGUCUAACUUUCCAGGUAGACUUAUUGAAAGGACUAUGAUGCGCAAGUAUGGAGUGGAGAAUGUUAAUGACCAUUUCAUAAGCUUUAACACCAUUUGUGAUGCCACUCAAGUAAUUCUCAUCCUCCGUUCUUUUCUAAGUCGUUACUGUAGUCUCAUUCUAAGAAGUACAUAUUUUUUGUCUCAGAUUUUCUACAAACGAAACUUUGAGAAUCAAUUUUUGUGUGGUUGUCCUGUAACCAGUAUUUUUCUGUGAUCACAACUGUCAUUCUGCAUAUUUCUCUGGUCUGCCAGUGUUUUAUAUUACUGUUUUCCAGGAAAGGCAAGAUGCAAUGUAUAAGCUUGUGGAGGAGAAACUCGAUCUCAUGUUGGUGAUUGGGGGAUGGAACUCCAGUAACACCUCACAUCUACAAGAGAUUUCAGAGCUCCGUGGCAUUCCUUCAUAUUGGAUUGACAGUGAAAAGAGAAUAGGACCAGGAAACAAAAUCAGCUAUAAAUUGAAUGUAAGCUUUUUUUUCUAUAAAAUAUACAAUUUCUUAAAGGCAAUUUAUAAAGAAAUAAAAAUUAUCUUAAAAAGUGAUUUCUUUCUCAUUCUUAUAUGAAGUACUUAUACAGUGGUUAUUAUUGUUUACUUGAACAGCAUGGUGAACUGGUUGAGAAAGAAAACUUUCUUCCUGAGGGUCCCAUCACAAUUGGUGUAACAUCUGGUGCUUCUACCCCAGAUAAGGUAAAUAUUUUCAACCUAGUAAAUGUUUUUCAUCUAUACAUGAACCCUUAGUACACCCCUGCAACUGCAAUUAAAAAAAACAAAAAAGUGAACUACUAAAAAACCAAACACGAUGGCUUUCUUUUUGAUAGUAGGUACUGUUAGUGAAACAAUUUCAUUGUCCUUGAAUAUCUGUCAUUUAGUCAGUUCUGACAUUGUUGCAAGGCUUUCGUCAGUCCAUCUGUUUUCACUAUGUAAGUGGACACUGAUUCUUAUUUCCUCGUAUUGAUCAGGCUGUUGAGGAUGUUCUUAAAAAGGUGUUCAACAUCAAGCGUGAAGAAGCCUUGCAGUUGGUGUAGCUUAUAUAUAUUCUGCAGACAUCAGAGACCAAUUCUGUUUGGUAUGUAUGAUGUGUAACUUAAUAAAUGUAAAUUCGAGUGGACUUGCGCUGUAUGCAUUUGUUUGUUUUAGUUCCUGAAGCGGAAAGCAGGGAUGACCGGCAUGAUACAUAUUAUAGAAAGACAGGCAACAUAGAAAUUGUAACUUAAUGGUUGUUAUACAACAGUUGUAUUGGUGUGGUGUGACCUGAAGGGUCUCACCAAUCACCAUAUGAUUUAUCUGAUCAGACUAUAUCUUAAAUUUCAUUGCUAUUAUCUUAUCUGAACUCUUUAAAGUAUUAGCAAAUGUGUCCAAAACUGGUUUUUGGUUCUCUAAAGAAGAGUAACGCCUAGCUUCUGCUCUGAGCUACCCCUGAAACAAAGUUAUAAUUCUUUCCCAUGACGACUGUUCAUGUAUUCUGGGAUUCGGUGUGCACACCAAUGAAUGAAGGAGGGUUAGGUAUUCGAAAAACCACAUUCAUGAAUCAAGCUCUUCUAUCUAAAUGGUUAUGGAGGUACGGGAGAGAGCAUGAGGCCCUUUGGCGAAGGGUAAUUGAUGCCAAAUAUGGGAAGUGUGACAAUGGUGGGAUGCCCUCAAAGGUGACAUGUCCAUAUGGGUGUAGCUUAUGGAGAGGGAUUCAAGCGAGCCAAGAGGAAUUCAUGGAAGGUAUAACAAAAUUAGCCAAAAGGGGUGACAAGAUUCGCUUUUGGCAUGACAUAUGGUUGGGGGAAGUUUCUUUCUCUAGGAGAUUUCCUAGGAUUUAUAGGUAUGCCGCAAUGAAGGAGGGGACGGUCUUGGGGCACAAAAGAGAUGAAGGGGGAUGGAAUCUUCACUUAAGGAGGACUAUGUUCUGAGAAGGUGAACAAUCUCAACUUGACCACCUCACAGCGUUACUUGAAAAUGUGGACUCUUUUUUUUUUAUAGAAGUAAAAUUUUUAAGAGAAAAUUAAAGAAAACAAGCCAGAUCAGCCUACAGAGCAGCGUCAGGUGGGCAUCAAUGGAUGCCAAUCCAGCAUAAACUAAAACUCUCCGAAAACUUUAGUCUCGAACCAGCACGUCCCAUUGUUCCAGUAGGUCUCUAAAGUGAAAACUACUCCUCCCUUUCCCAAUUCUCAGCCAAAACCAAAUAAGUGCUUUCAUCUUUGUACAAAUUUCAUUGAUGGUGAAAGCUUUAUUCUUAAAUAUAACCCCAUUCCUUAUAUUCCAGAUGACCCAAAUGACAACAUAGGGAAGCAACUUCCAAGCUUUACCUCCCAAGGCAUGGUUCCCACUCUUUGGCACUUAUUAAGAACUUCAGUAACUGAGAGGGAACGCAAUAUAACGUUGAAACCGUCAAUCCUUGCUGCUGUCAAAAGCUUCCAAACCUGCAGUGCCACUGAACAGUGAAGAAACAAAUGUGGUGUAUCUUCCACAAUGAUACCACACAGCGAGCAAGUGGGGUCAAUGUUGAAGCCAUGCCUGUGAAGGGUAUGCUUCGUAGAAGUUCUAUUUAACAAAACAGACCAGAAAAACAGCUGAAUAUAAGUGGGAAUUUUGGCCUUCCACACUAAUUUAGAAGGAAGGAUCUCAACAGGUCUGGAGUCCAAAAGCAGUUGAUGAUACAUUGUUUUAACAGUAAAACAACCAUUGUUAUUCCACUUCCAUCUCCAGUUAUCAGUAUCAUCACCAAACUCCACAAUUUGCAAUUUCUGUGUGAGUUCCCUUAACUGUUCCAUCUCCCAAUCAAAUGGAGUUCUUCGUAUCCGUAGGUUCCACUGAUUCUCUAACUCUGUUCUGGUGCACAUCUGAGCAAUCAAUGCAUUCCUACAAUUUGACAGAAUAUAUAUCUGUGGAAAUCGCUCACAUAAAGGGGUCGACCCCAACCAAGAGUCCAGCCAGAAACGAAUUCUACUCCCAUCACCUAACCUGCAGAUUAUUCCUUGACGGAAAAGGUGAAAGAUUUCCAUAAUCCCACGCCACAAACUGCACCCAUGUGACUGUGAAGCAUGUCUUGGCCACCAAUUAAAAUCUCCUGAUCCAUAUUUCGAGUCAAUCACCUUUCUCCAGAGAGCUCCCUCCUCUCUACCAUAUCUCCAAAGCCAUUUUGCCUUUAAAGCUUUGUUCAUCAAACUGAUUCUUCGUAGCCCGAGGCCACCUUCCUCUUUCGGACAACAAAUCUUCUCCCAACUUACUAAGUGAAUCGAUCUUUUGGACUCCAUGGAAUUCCAAAGGAAAUCUUUCAUUUUCUUCUCAAUCAGGUUAGCAAUGGAAAUUGGAAUGGUAAGCAACGCCAUCUGAUAAAUUGGGAGGUUGGCCAAAACACUUUGAACCAAAAUGAAACGACCUCCUUUGGACAAGAGACAGACCUGCCAGCUUUGUAACCUGGUUUGAAUCCUCUCCACCACGGGAUCCCACACUCUUUUGUUCUUGAAAGAAGCUCCCAGUGGCAUCCCGAGAUAUUUACAGGGCAAAAAUCCCUCUUCACAGUCCAUAAUUUGCGUGAACCUCCUCAUAUUAGGAACAUUACCCACUGUUGUGAUUGUAGUUUUCUUCGGGUUACCUUUCAACCCAGAUAUUGCUUCAAAAAUCAGGAGAAUGGUCUUAAUAACAAGAAUUUAAUCAAUCUUGGCAUCCACUAAGAAUAGUGUGUCGUCAGUAAACUGCAACACCGCAACGUCAGGACACUGAGCCCCUGAUUUAAACCCAGUAAUGUAUCUUUUCUCCACUGCAUCAUUGACAAGCCGACUAAGCGAUUCCAUAACAAUAUUGAACAAGAAAGGUGAAAUGGGGUCUCCCUGACGAAGACCUCUAGCGUUCUUAAAAUGUCCCUUAGGUGAUCUAUUGAUGAUGAUUGAAAAGGAUGCAGUUGAGACACAAACCCAUAUCCAGUUUCUCCACUUUGGCGAAAAGCACAUUCUGAAGAGAAGAUAGUCCAAAGAAACCCAGUUAACUCUAUCGUAGGCUUUAGAGAUAUCAACUUUACAAAGAAGCCCACCAACUCCCGAGCGAAUCCUCGAGUCCAAAAGCUCAUUAGCGAUUAAAGGUCCGUCCAUGAUCUGCCUGUCACCCACAAAAGCACUCUGACAUGGGGAUAUUAACACAGGCAAGAACACUUUCAAUUUGCUAGCCAAGACUUUAGAGACAAUCUUGUAGACGCUACCCACCAAGCUAAUGGGUCGGUAAUCCACAAUACAAAUUGCCUAUCUCUUCUUUGGCACCAAUGUCACAAAUGUAGUGUUUACCCACCAAUCAAGAAAUCCCUGAGUGUAGAAUUCAUCCAAAACAGCUAUCAAAUCAGGUUUGAAGAUCUCCCAACAUUUUUUAUACACUAACAUAGGCAUGCCAUCUGGCCCUGGUGCCCUAUCACCGCUGAAAGAAUUGAUGGCCCUGAGAAUCUCCUCCUCAGUAAAGGCAUCAUCCAAGCUCACAGAUUGUUGAGCCGACAAAGAUGCAAACUCCAUAUUGUCUAGCAGGGGUCGACAAAUAGGAUCCUCCGAGUACAAAUCUUUAUAGUAUCCCACAAUAUGUUGCACAAUAUCCUCCUCGUUUGUGACUAGGAGACCAUCUAUCUCUAAACAAUCAAUUGAAUUCACCCUUCCACGGUUGACCGCAGACUUAUGAAAAAAAGCAGUAUUGUUCUCACCUUCACAUCUCCAUUCUAAUCCGCGCUUUUUGACGCCAAGAUAUUUCUUUCUUCCUCAGCAAAAGGUUGAGCUCCUCUUUGAGACAUAAUUUGUUUAGCAAAGUUUCAUCUGUCAAGGGACAAGAUUCUUCCUCUCUAGCAAUAGCUUGGAUCUCGUCAGUCUUAGCUUGAAUAAGACGAUCCACACAACCAAAUACUUCGCGGUUCCAACUUCUUAGUUUGGAUUUAAGGGCUUUAACUUUACUCCACCAAAUGAAACUAGCAAAACCUGAGAAAUGAAAGGAAAACCACCAUUCGCGAAUCAUUCCCAGUAAAUCAGGGUUCUCAAACCACAUAAUCUCGAAUCUAAAAGGCAUAGAUCCUCUUCUCUUGUUAGUGCAGUCGAGAACCACCACUCUAUGAUCCGACACUGAUCUAUAAAGCGCCACCUCUUUGGCUUGUGGAAAAUUUGCAUCCCAAUCUGCUGUUGCAAAGAAACGAUCAAUCCUACUAAGACUUCGACCAUUAGACCAAGUAUAUUUGGCACCAUGUAGAGAG